AGCUGACGUGUGGGCUCGAAGAGCAGGGAACUUGAGUGUGUGAGAAACUCAAUAUUUACCUUUCUUUUUAAGGUGCAUUCAUCGUGAGUGGAGCUGCACCGGAAGGGCACAAACUUGAACGUCGUGGUGGUGACACUGAUCUCUGCGCUUGUAUUGAUAUUACGUGCCCUAGCGGCCAUUGCACAGCGAUAAGCCAGUGUAAGAAAUGCUCCGGGAUCGUGGGAUGAACAACAUCGCUGACCGACAAACCUUAACUACGAAAUGAUCAAUUUGCACGUAUUGAGCAACGGACCCGGUAUUUUCUUUUCUGAAUGAUCAUAGGUGGCGGGAACUUUUGAGCGAAAUAAAUGGUACUAAGUAGCA
Ornithodoros turicata is the source of this 363-nucleotide long non-coding RNA. RefSeq lists it as uncharacterized. NCBI's taxonomy places the organism in Eukaryota, Metazoa, Arthropoda, Arachnida, Ixodida, Argasidae. The transcript is spliced from 2 exons. The record is from RefSeq and is a predicted model, not a curated record.